Non-coding RNA from Equus caballus (horse), 4160 nucleotides. The record is from RefSeq and is a predicted model, not a curated record. NCBI's taxonomy places the organism in Eukaryota, Metazoa, Chordata, Mammalia, Perissodactyla, Equidae.
AAUGGGAAUGAAAUAUCUAUGCCCUCACCUGUUGUUACAGGGAUUGGGACAAAACAGAAUAAGAGAAAGCCCAGCCCAGCUCCGGAGAGCCCCUCUCCCCAUGAGUCAAGCAUGUGGGUUAAUUAAACUGGCUCCCUGCGGUAUUCAUUCUAUAAGGACAAGAUGAAAGGUGACUGAACGACAAGAACUGCAUGCAGCGGGCUUCAGGACAGUGCUCAAUCCAUGUCAGCUGUGACCCCAUGAAGAUGACCGAUGUCCAACAGACCCCUUUCAUUUGAACUGGAUCAGGUGCCCUCAGACAGCUCCAUCCAGGCCGGACAGACUGAGGACCACUGCUCUGAUCAUCACUACCUAGCCCACAUCAGGAGGACCGUGGGAUCAGGCCACCCCAGGGCCACCCGCAUCCCAUGCAUGCCCCCCAAGAGGGCGUGUUGGGAGGUGGGGGCGCAGCUGAAGCUCCACUUCCUGGGUAAUGAAGGGAAGCAACCUUUAGGCCGGUCCCGAAAGAAGCAUGGGGACAGGAGUCAGUGGGUAACAGAGCAGAGUUUCUGGUGGGAAAGAUGGAAAACCUCUGGAGAUGGAUGGUGGUGAUGGCUGCCUGACAUGUGAACGUACUCAAUGCCGCUGAACUGAACGCUUAGCAACGGUGAAAACGGUCAGUUUUAUGUUAUGUAUAUUUAACCACAAGAAAAAACAAGAAGGAAAAACCACCUUGGGGAAAAAAUUUAAAAAGGAAUUGGGUCUGGGAGGACUUCCAAGGUCAUACUUGGAUUUUUGCUUCCUAAGCCAGGAAACAUGGAACUGCGUUUGAUUUAUUCUGUUCCCAUCUUAUCAGCACUUCCAAAGAAGUGAAAACAGGGAAUUGGAGCUCUCACGGGCACUGAGCAAAGAUUCAAGUGCCCAGAACCUGCUGUGACCUCCCAACUCACUUCCCGUCAGGCCUGCCCCCACCCUGUCCCGGGACUAGGACACAGCGGCCCUCAGGUCACUGACACGAUCAGAGCAUGGGGGCUUCAGCCUGCGCUCAGAGGUCCCGUGGUCUCUCUCCCACUCACGCCAGGUCAGUGGGCAGCCCCCUUGAAAGAGUCUCUCCAAGCUGCGCUCCUGAGAGGCGAAUGCCAUGCGCAUUCGCUGAGCCUGCACAUCCAGGGGCUGUUGGCGAGUGACCCGCGCCCCCCUCCCGCCAAUGCCUGUGAGGCUGGGCUCCUCCUCUGGGCCACAUCCAGCCCAAGGUCAUGAUGUGUGUGUGCCCUACACCAGCUGACCCUGAGUGACGCCCCCCAGGCUCUCACAUAUGCUCUUCCCAGAUGUCCCUCAGGUGCUGCACCCCAGCAGGAGAGAAGGGCGUCUCCCUCAGGUCCAACACGGCAGUGCAGCAGCCACGUGCAUACAAACCUGCCUCUGUUCCUGCCGCUUCCCGACAAUCAGCAGCAGAAUGCACGAAUGGCCGCUGUGGCCUGGGGGAGACAGGGCGGCAGCAGAGGCAAGGUGGGACGGGGAGGCUGAGCAGCCCCAGCACAGCCUCAGGGAACUGUUUUUGAAACAAGUGAACUUGCUUUGGGAACCCGCGUGGGUACUGUCUUUGCUCUCACCAUCUGCGUGACGCACAUCUGCCCCGUGCAGCCCUGGGAACACCGGUUUCCGAAGCCCCCAUGCCCGCAGCCCCAGGAUCUGGUUCUCAGAAGAGGGCUGUCCGAAAUGAGGUGCUAAUCUAGGCGGAGUUUCCCAAGCCUGAUGAACCCGCAAGAAAACCAAGCGAUGAAUAAGUACUCGGUCUUCUUCCUACUGCCCUUUGCAACAACCUGCCAUUUGCGAUAAACAUGACAGAGAACAAGCUAAACAGCGCUAGAGAAAACAGGAAAAAUAAACUCGGGGUCUUUACAUAAAUAUAUGUUCUACCAAAAUCUAAACUUAACCAAUCAACUGGCACAAAUCAAAAGGUCACUCAGAGUUCUCUGCUGCUGCUCACAGAGAAAAUGAUUAUCUCACUGUUGUACCACUCGCUCCUAUACAAUGCAAAGCUUUGAACUGUUUAUAACAUAAUACAACAGAUGCACAAUCGCUCAGGAACAUCGCUGUUCUGCCCUUUGAAGCUGCCUGCAGCCCAAGUACUGCACAGGCAGGAAGUAGAAAUCAGUGCUUUGAUUUGUUUAAAAUAAAUUAAACACAAGUGGCAACCAUAUUUCCUCUUAUUCAGAGGAAGUUACAAAAGGUACAGAAGACCAAAAAUACCAGGUGACUUUGAAACGAAGAGUUAGUCCGUUUAUAAGCAAACCCCCGAAAUACUGGCCCUUAGCAUACAUUCAAAGACCUCGCAUGCACAAAUUUUAAAGAGAUUACUUCUGUUCAAAAUCACUUGGAAAGAACUGUGGGUUUCUUUCAAGUUGAACAACCUCACCGUUUCAAAAGCUGCCCACGGAGGAAAGAACUCAAGUCCAGUGCGAGAGGCAGGGAGGGUGCGAGGCGGCAGCGCAGUGGUGAGUCGGGGAUUCGGGGGCAUCUGCUUCUGAGCAGCAGGGAGGCAGGCAGCCUGGGGUGAGGGCCAGAGGCCAGAGACCAGGGUACUUCCCAUGCACAGUCUUUGCAAGGACGACACAUGGGUCCAUGCUAGGCGUGGGCUGUGGGACAGGACCGGUGUGUGGCCUCGCAGGGUGUCAUGAGAAGCAGGCACAAUGUGCAAACCCUCCAGGCCUCCUGAGGCAUUACCGUAGCUCUCUAUUCUCAUCCUCCUGAGCCAGAGAGCAAAAUGUGGUGUGGACGGGCGUGGGCUCAAAGCCCAGCAUCUCUGCUCAGAGCGUGGCCUCAGUUCACUCAUCUGUAAAAUGGGGACAAUAGUAUCUACUUCAGAGAGUCGCGAGGGUGAAGCGAUUUAAUAUUUAUGAAGCAUUUAGAUUAGCAUUUGGCGCCUAGAAAGUACUCCAAAUGGCGGUGGUUUUUUAAAGGCCACUACUAAGGAAAACUGUGUGGCAUGGCCCGUGGUCCCUUCCAUGCAGACUGGAAGGCGACACCAGACCGAGGUGCAGCAGCUGCUGUCUGACUCGCAUGCACUCAUGUUGUUUCCAUGGUUCUGUCCAUGCUACCUGUUCUCCACUUGUCACCUCUGGGUCACUUACUUCUCCUACACCACCCUGAUGGAAUGGCUGGCUCCAAGGACACGAGUGGGACCCCAGUGAUGCCUUUUCCAAGCUGGUCUUACUUGUGCUUAGGGGCAGCUCCUCUCCCACAUAUGUUCACCAUUAAGUAAACAUCUGUGUGUCCCCGCCUUUGAUCCCUCUCGAGGUCCUGUCACUCUCCCAUGCCAGACUCAGAAGGCCAUCCCUGGCAUUCUCCUCCAUCUUCCCACCGACCCGGGGGAGUGCACACCUCCCCAUGACUUCCACUUCCACCUCUAACGCAAUAACUCCCAAAACUGUGUCUCUGGGGCCCAGAAGCCCUCCCUGCAUUCCAGACGCUCCAUACUUCCGACCACCCUAUAGAUAUCCGCAAGGACUUUCAACCCCCAACAAUCCAGUCUCCACUAAACUGGUUCACACUUUGUUGAAAAUCAAUCGACCACAUUUGUGUGGGGCUAUUUCUGGAUGCUCUUCCAUUCCCCUGAUCUGUGUGUCCAUCCCUCUCCAGUACCACCUGCCCUGGUGACUGCAGCUUCGCAGGAAGUCUUGAAAUCGGACGGCGUGUGUCCUUCGACACAUUCUUCUCCUUCGAAGUUGUCGUGUGUAUUCCAGCACCUUGGCCUUCCCCAGAGCUUCACACUCACUGUGUCGAUCUCUACAAAACAGCCUGCUGGGAUGUUAACCGGACUGAGUUUAAUCUGUACACCAAUUUGGGGAGAACUGACCUCUUAGCAGUUUUGACUAUUCCAAUCCACGAAACAAUACAUGUCUCCAUUUAUGUAGGAAUUCUUUGAUUUCUUUCAUCUGUGUUUCAUAGUUUUCAGCAAACAGUUCUUGUGUGUAUUUUGUAGGAUUUGUGCCUAAGUAUUUCAUGAUUUUUGGUUCUAUUGUAAAUGGAAAUGUUUUUAAUUUCAGUUUCUAAUGGUUCUUUACUAGUAUACAACUAAAUUCACCUGCAGUCCUAGCUUUUGUGUAGAUGCCACUGGAUUUUCUACGUAGAAAAUCACAUCAUCUGCAAAUAAAGAUGGUUUCUCUCUCUCUCUAAUC